UGCGCAGGUGGGGGUGUAAGUCAGUGGUGAAAUGUUGCCGCUUAACGGUAAAAUUGCCAUUGAUACUGCAUCUCUUGAGUAUGGUUGAGGUAGGCGGAAUGUGUUGUGUAGCGGUGAAAUGCAUAGAUAUGACACAGAACACCGAUUGCGAAGGCAGCUUACUAAGCCAUUACUGACGCUGAGGCACGAAAGCGUGGGGAGCGAACAGGAUUAGAUACCCUGGUAGUCC
Molecule: ribosomal RNA, 229 nt
Filed under: uncultured bacterium
Lineage: Bacteria
Description: partial 16S ribosomal RNA
Rfam family: Bacterial small subunit ribosomal RNA
Source: RNAcentral